AUACGGAGGAUGCGAGCGUUAUCCGGAUUCAUUGGGUUUAAAGGGUGCGUAGGCGGACUAUUAAGUCAGUGGUGAAAUCCUGCAGCUUAACUGCAGAACUGCCAUUGAUACUGAUAGCCUUGAGUUUGGUUAAGGUAGGCGGAAUGUGUAAUGUAGCGGUGAAAUGUUUAGAUAUUACACAGAACACCAAUUGCGUAGGCAGCUUACUGAGCCGACACUGACGCUGAGGUACGAAAGCGUGGGGAUC
This 247-nucleotide ribosomal RNA is filed under the name uncultured bacterium. RNAcentral's name for it is "partial 16S ribosomal RNA". It matches the Rfam family "Bacterial small subunit ribosomal RNA", at positions 523 to 769 of the family's 1533-position model. The record is from RNAcentral.